CUUGCGGCCAUAUCACAUUGAAACACCAGUUCCUGUAUAAUCACCAAAGUUAAGCAACAUUGAGUCUGACCAGUACCUAUAUGGGUGACCACUUGGGAAUAUCAGGUGCUGUAA
Molecule: ribosomal RNA, 114 nt
Filed under: Acanthosepion pharaonis
Lineage: Eukaryota; Metazoa; Mollusca; Cephalopoda; Sepiida; Sepiidae
Source: RNAcentral